UGUUAAUUGGUAUUUAUCUCAUUUCUUUUUUUACAAAUUAAUUUUUGAUUUUGUAACUAAAAUAUUUUGUCGACCUCACCGAUAUCGGGCGGUCAAAAGGGUACAACCUUUUUAUAUCGCACCACCCCGUCAGGGUCGGCAUCCUACGGCCUGGGGGCCCCAUAGGCCUGGUGGGCUCCGGCUGGACUUCCUUUGCUACGGGCUGUACAGGGGAUAUGUUUUCUGUAUAAGAAGCGGCUUCCACUGUACGAUUUCGUCGCGCAAAACGGAUUCGUACAGCCGAUAUCCUAGCCAGGGCCCGUGUACGGACAGCCAAUUCACGGAACGGAUGGAACAGAUCUGCAUCCUACUUUUUGCUGGAUACGAACCGUUACCGAUUGAGGUGGCCGAUUCCGUAACCAAUAAGAAACUACUCGGCGGUAAAUCAGAGCUGGGUAAAAGGUAGCGGUAAACUAUGAAAUGCUAAUAAAUUUGAUUGGUCUCGAUGAUAAAACCCGAAAAGACUAUCGCGUCAAAAUAUUAAAAAACAAUAUAAUACUGGGGAUAAAAUAACCGACCAACUUAAAGCCGAUGGUAAGUUAGUAAGCGGAAUUCAGCAGCAGUUAAUCGAAUUUGUCUCGCACUCUCGUUUUAUAAAAUUGUUAUUUAGUGGAAAAAAUUAAAGGAAGAUGUUGAGCGAUUCUUACCCAAGAAUGGCGACGAUUAUCUUAAAAUGAAUGUAUUUUUAAAAAAUAUUCUUUAUUGGCUUUUUCGAUAUGAUCUUUACAAAAGUUUCGGGUCCGUGAUGCGGCCAAUGUCAGCGAUUUAAUAUUUUUUUCCAUUGUACCAUUCAAAUGAUACAAUGGAAAUCGUGCCUAAAGGGGAACGUGUUAUACUGCGAUCAACUAUAUUUAUUUCAGAUGCGCCGAUUAUUUUUAAUUAUACUUUUUAAAUUUUUAUCCACUGUCUGGCGCAGCUGGGUUUUGGGCUCUGGCCUCAAAAAUCCUAAUUGGUAUACCCUUUUAUUUUAUUCUGGAACGGCCCAGUCCCACCGACAUAUCUGUUGUACUUGUAAGAAAUACCCUAAUUACCAAUAAUAUUAACGUAAUUAUGUUAUUAAAACCACAAAUUGCGAUUAUUGGAAGAUUUACUGGAUUAAAGCAGGAUGGGCGCGGAAAGUAUUUUUUCUUCUCGAUCUGCCGGAGUAAACUUUGGAUACAAAGUAGCCGUGACCAGUUUUAUUCCGGCUGUAAUUGCUACUGGUUAAAAUUGAAAGGUAGCCGCCUGCUGGUUAACCAGGUCUUUUUUUAUCUUACUGUAUAAUGCAUUGGCUAAAUGCAAAUAUCAAAAGCGAUAGGCUUUUUGAAUGAUUUGUAUGUGGAAAAUUUUUAAAAUGUUUCGGAAAAUAUCUGAGAAGUUGAUGUAGAUUUAGUCGUUCUUUCUGUCGACAUCCCUUUCUUUAUUAGCAUCGUUUACCUCCGUGUACUGUUUAUCAUCGGUGUUAUUUAUUGUAAUAAUUAGUAUUAGCACUUAUUCUCCAUUUUUCAAAAAUUUCCUGUCAGCCAAUACUUCGGAUGAAAGCCGAGAAGUUAAUUACUUUAAAUCAAUCGUUCCAGUCGUAUGUGGAAUAAAUAAAUACUAGAACAUAGUCUGCAUCUACCACCUUCCAAAUGGAUGAUGGAGACAACCUAAUUGUUAAAAAUUAAUACUAUUUUUUACCAAGAGGAAGGUGAGUUUUGAAUCGGUCUUCUACUUUCUCGUUAUCGAUAAUAGAUCGCUUCCUUUAAUUUUAUAGGACUGGGAUGGUUUUGUAUUUUUGUCUCCAAAAGAUGUCCUAUCUCUUUUCCUGGGGUGAAAAGAGGCGGACAUGAUUAAAGUAAAAAAUAUUUGAAAGAUCAGUUUGGUCGUAUUUUUGUAAAACUAAAUUAUAGUUUUUGCCAUCUACUUAGGUUAAUUUAAUUUGUUGCGCCUAGGAUUAGGAAUACAACGGCUAAGCUUCUAUUAAUGCCACCCGAUGAAAUAUGCUUUCCAUUUAUAUUAUCAGGUAGAGACCAGACCGUGCAACUGAUACGCUAAGUCGUACAAAACUUCAGUUUGUUUCACUAACUCCAUCAAUUUUUCGUCCUCCGUUAUCAAAUACAAUAAAACAUCGAAACAGACCGAGCCCAAAAUAGGUUUUACGUUCUAAAACGCGUGUACACCGAGUACGUAACAAACGAUAAUUGAAAGAAAACACGAGAAAAUAUAGUUGGAGACGUGAGUUGGACUAGACUGGCUGAUACAACGGACUAACUGGUGUCGAUAGAAACAGUUCCAUUGGUAAAACGUCGAUCAAAUUUUCCUCAAUAUUGAGAUGACGCUCUUCACGCUACUGUAUAAAUAGACUCUUAAUCGAUUUUUUACAAAUAUCGAAGUACCGAUAUUUUCGUACCCC
Molecule: long non-coding RNA, 2413 nt
Filed under: Androctonus crassicauda
Lineage: Eukaryota; Metazoa; Arthropoda; Arachnida; Scorpiones; Buthidae
Source: RNAcentral